This 450-nucleotide ribosomal RNA is filed under the name uncultured bacterium. RNAcentral's name for it is "partial 16S ribosomal RNA". It matches the Rfam family "Bacterial small subunit ribosomal RNA", at positions 29 to 507 of the family's 1533-position model. The record is from RNAcentral.
GCUAACGCUGGCGGCGCGCCUAACCCCUGCAAGUCGAACGCACCCUUCGGGGUUAGUGGCAGACGGGUGAGUAACGCGUGGAUAAUGUGCCUCUUUGCUGGGGAUACCGUUCCGAAAGGAACGUUAAUACCGAAUGUGCUUGUUUGGCGGCAUCGUCGAGCAAGUAAACUGUUAGGGUGAAGAGAGCAGUCCGCGUUCUAUCAGCUAGUUGGUGAGGUAACGGCUCACCAAGGCUACGACGGAUAACUGGUCUGAGAGGAUGAUCAGUCACACUGGAACGGAGACACGGUCCAGAAUCCUACGGGAGGCAGCAGUGAGGAAUCUUGCACAAUGGGCGAAAGCCUGAUGCAGCGACGGCGCGUGAGGGAUGAAGGCCUUCGGGUUGUAAACCUCUGUCAGUAGGGAAGAAGAAUGACGGUACCUACUGAGGAAGCUUCGGCUAACUACGUG